This 381-nucleotide ribosomal RNA is filed under the name Salmonella enterica. Its description in RNAcentral is "bacterial SSU rRNA". It matches the Rfam family "Bacterial small subunit ribosomal RNA", at positions 1 to 380 of the family's 1533-position model. Lineage: Bacteria; Pseudomonadati; Pseudomonadota; Gammaproteobacteria; Enterobacterales; Enterobacteriaceae. The record is from RNAcentral. RNAcentral also lists the same sequence under 1 other name.
AAAUUGAAGAGUUUGAUCAUGGCUCAGAUUGAACGCUGGCGGCAGGCCUAACACAUGCAAGUCGAACGGUAGCACAGAGAGCUUGCUCUCGGGUGACGAGUGGCGGACGGGUGAGUAAUGUCUGGGAAACUGCCUGAUGGAGGGGGAUAACUACUGGAAACGGUGGCUAAUACCGCAUAACGUCGCAAGACCAAAGAGGGGGACCUUCGGGCCUCUUGCCAUCAGAUGUGCCCAGAUGGGAUUAGCUAGUUGGUGAGGUAACGGCUCACCAAGGCGACGAUCCCUAGCUGGUCUGAGAGGAUGACCAGCCACACUGGAACUGAGACACGGUCCAGACUCCUACGGGAGGCAGCAGUGGGGAAUAUUGCACAAUGGGCGCAA